This is an RNA transcript of Sebastes umbrosus (honeycomb rockfish), 3056 nucleotides long. It is a transcript of the gene named KH domain containing, RNA binding, signal transduction associated 1b, with no coding region annotated. The transcript has 12 exons. The record is from RefSeq and is a predicted model, not a curated record. NCBI's taxonomy places the organism in Eukaryota, Metazoa, Chordata, Actinopteri, Perciformes, Sebastidae.
GGCGGUGUCAGUCAGUCCGGAGCACUACGUCCUCUCUGAGCUCACUUCCGCCGGCUCCAGUAGGAUCACUAUUCUCCCCCAUCUCUCUCUCUCUCUCUCUCUCUCUCUCUCUCUGCUUUUGUUCUCUCUCAUUCCCAUCCAGUGAGCGCUGCUGAAGAGAAGAGAAGAGAAGCAUCAGUCAGCUCAGAGAGGAAACCUCACACAGACUCAGAGUAGCGGACCCGUCCGUCGCAGUAGCCACAUGCAAAGCUCCGUCUGCACGCACACAGAGAGGACACGCGACACUCCGUAGUUACAUAAGUGGACUACUUCUUUUUCUUCUUCUUAUUUGGGUUUUUUGACUCUCCCCUCUUUUCCAUCUAAACCUCAAAAUGGAGAACGACGACAAAUAUCUCCCCGAGCUGCUGGCGGAGAAGGACAGCCUGGACUCGUCGUUUACUCACGCCAUGAAACUUUUAAACGCAGAAAUUGAUAGAAUCCAGAAAGGCGAGACUAAAAAGGAGGCAGAACCGUACCUGGACCUUUUCACAACGAAGAACAUCAAACUUAAGGAACGAGUGCUCAUACCUGUCAAACAGUACCCCAAGUUCAAUUUCGUGGGGAAGAUUUUGGGUCCUCAGGGCAAUACAAUCAAGCGUCUGCAGGAAGAGACCGGAGCCAAGAUCUCUGUGCUGGGCAAAGGAUCCAUGAGAGACAAAUCCAAGGAGGAGGGGCUGAGGAAAGGCGGCGAGCCCAAGUACGCCCACUUGUCUAUGGAGCUGCACGUAUUCAUCGAGGUGUUCGCCCCCGUGCCGGAGGCCUACCUGCGCAUGGCACACGCCAUGGAGGAGGUCAAGAAGUUCCUGUUUCCUGAUAUGAUGGAUGAUAUCUGCCAAGAGCAGUUCAUGGAGAUGAGCUACCUGAACGGAGGCCAGGAGCACGGAGCCAGAGGGAGGGGGGGCCCUCCGGUCAGGGGCCGCGGAGUCCCUCCUGGUGUAGCACACAGGGGUCGGGGAAUGCCACCUCGCGGUGCUCCCGCCAGGGGAGGUGUGCCCCGAGGCGGCCCAGCCAGAGGUGGCGCAGUGAGAGGCGUCCCAGGAGGCCGAGGAGGACCCCCAGCAGCACCAUCCAGGGGAGCCUCAGCACCCCGUGCCAGGCCCCCAACCGCCGGACCCCCACAGAGGAUGGCACCCCACCAGCACACCCCUAGUGCAGCUGCUGAGGGCUACGACGAAUAUGGCUACGAUGAGAGCUACACAGACACGGCCUACGAGUCAUACGACAGCUAUUACAGUCAGCCGCAGGCAGAGCCAGAAUACUACGACUACGGACACGGAGAGACCACAGAGUCGUACGAGUCAUAUGGCCAGGAUGACUGGAACGGGACCCAGCGAACUGCUGUAGGGAAGGCCCCUCCCCCCUCCAGAGGUGCCAAGACGCCUUACCGGGAGCACCCAUACCGACAGUACUGAAGCGGACUCCCCACCCUUAACGUGUCGCCCUGUCUACCACGGCAGCUCUCGCUUUAAGCAGCCCGACAAAAGACCCAGAGGCACAGCUAUCGGUCACUGAGUGCCCCGGAGACUGACAGUCUGCUGAAGUGAGACCAUACAAACCUCAGUGAAGCCGUGCACGGGAGAAGCUCAGCAUGAAGGAGGUGGUCAGACGAGGCUCUCAGGGUCGCCCUGUUGAAAGGAGUGGCCCAAGGCCCAGUUCUGUUCCUGGCAGGGGGGUGGCUGUGGUGGCCGGCCGCCAAGUGACCCACAGGAGCCAGCUGAUAGCUGAGAGGAGCUGGCUCAGACUCCCUCUGGAACAGGACUAAGACCGCAGCUGGUCAGCGAAGACUUUCAGCUCGCUGGGAAUCCAGAACAACCAGACUCUCAUUUUCUGUGGACUAUUUUCUUCUAUUUCAUGUCUAUACAUUAUCCUCGUGUAAUUAUUUUCUAACACCGAAGACACCCACUUGAAGCUGAUUGCAUGCUGCUGUACGCAGCUUCCGCAGACCACCCCCUCUUCCAACAAAUGUAAUUGUUACAGCCUAAUUCACCAUAAAAUGAGCACUCCUGUUAUAGUAGACUGUGAAAUUGCUUUUAAUUUCUAUUAACCCUUAAAUUAGACAUGAAACAAAAGUCUUUCACUUUCUGCAAGGCAAGCUGUAUUCUCCCAUUCAUUUGUGACAUCUGCAUUUCAAUUAUGUUUUUAAACAUUCUGGCUGCGUGUUAUUUAGUAUCCAUGCCUUAUUGCUGCGUGAAAUUAGACUCAGUGCUGGAGAGUUAAACAUGCCCGGAGAGAGUGGAUCACUAUCUCGCUGCGGCCGAGUUCACCGCGAACACACACACACACACGCCGCCACAUCUUGGCAUUGCACGGCCUUGUGCAGCCCUGAGGAUAUCAAAUGCUAAUGCAGCGGCCUAUUUGCAUGUACUCGCAUGUGCGCUCCCUGCAAAUGUGCAACACUUUCAUAACCAACGCUGGCUUGUUCGCAGCGCUUCGGCGUCCAAGUAUGAUAAUUCGGCGAGAUGUACCCGGGAGGAGGGCUGCAUGUGAGAAAGGGACUGGGUGAAGGCAGACAUUACUAACUUCCCUCCAUCUAUCCAUCUAUCCAUCAUGCCUCUGUUGAUUUGAUUCCCCCUCUAUGCCAUUUUCUGCCAUUAUCACUGAUGGUAUUACGGCUGCCUGUGGUGCUGAGUUACAUUUAGAGGUCAAAACUCUACUUUCCUGUAUUAAAAACAAAUUUCUCUGUCCCGACUCGCUGGUCAGAGGCAGCAUUAGCCAAGUCAGAGGCUCCAUUUAGUUUAUUGAAAAAGCCAGCAGCUUAGAGGAUAGAACAUUAGAUAUUAGGAUAGAAAGAGAUGAAACGUCAACGGGCCAUAUCCAAAACAGAUCAUUUUUCAGUCUUCAUGUGCUAUUAUGUCUAAAAUAAUGAUUUCUGUGUCUCCUAUAAUCUAAUGAAAGAUAAGUGAUGGCAUGGAAGCCAUCUCCUUUUGUUUGAAUCGAUGAGCUGUCAAGAGCGCGAGGGUGGAAGAGAAAGUAAAUGUUGCUGUGCAAUGAUCAAUAAAAGUAGACUUGAAUGUGAA